AGUGAACGCUGGCGGCAGGCCUAACACAUGCAAGUCGAGCGGCAGCGCGGGGGCAACCCUGGCGGCGAGCGGCGGACGGGUGAGGAAUUCGUCGGAAUCUGCCUUUUUGUGGGGGAUAACGUAGGGAAACUUACGCUAAUACCGCAUACGUCCUACGGGAGAAAGUGGGGGACCGCAAGGCCUCACGCAGAAAGAUGAGCCGACGACCGAUUAGCUAGUUGGUGGGGUAAAGGCCCACCAAGGCGACGAUCGGUAGCUGGUUUGAGAGGAUGAUCAGCCACACUGGGACUGAGACACGGCCCAGACUCCUACGGGAGGCAGCAGUGGGGAAUAUUGGACAAUGGGCGCAAGCCUGAUCCAGCCAUGCCGCGUGUGUGAAGAAGGCCUUCGGGUUGUAAAGCACUUUUGUCCGGAAAGAAAUCCCUGGAGCUAAUACCUUCGGGGGAUGACGGUACCGGAAGAAUAAGCACCGGCUAACUUCGUG
RNAcentral lists this ribosomal RNA (484 nucleotides) under uncultured bacterium. RNAcentral's name for it is "partial 16S ribosomal RNA". It matches the Rfam family "Bacterial small subunit ribosomal RNA", at positions 29 to 507 of the family's 1533-position model. The record is from RNAcentral.